CCGUCUUCAUAUGGGAAGUUUAGAGGAGGAGGGACUGCUGAGGCUGAGGCACCUUGUCUGGGACGAGAACGUUUGGAGGAGCGUCCAGACAUAUUGGAAAAUUUUUACUGCUGAAUUUUUGAGAUUAAGAUGCAAGGAAUUGACCUUUGAUUCUUAGAAAUGGUGCUUGAGUGAGUGAGAAUGAUCCUAUAUGAGGGCUAUUUAUAGGAGAAGGA
Molecule: long non-coding RNA, 215 nt
Filed under: Nicotiana benthamiana
Lineage: Eukaryota; Viridiplantae; Streptophyta; Magnoliopsida; Solanales; Solanaceae
Description: long non-coding RNA (NBEN_LNC000674)
Source: RNAcentral